This 253-nucleotide unclassified non-coding RNA is filed under the name uncultured Phycisphaeraceae bacterium. RNAcentral describes it as "contains 16S-23S intergenic spacer region". It matches the Rfam family "Bacterial small subunit ribosomal RNA", at positions 524 to 776 of the family's 1533-position model. The record is from RNAcentral. Lineage: Bacteria; Pseudomonadati; Planctomycetota; Phycisphaerae; Phycisphaerales; Phycisphaeraceae.
UACAGAGGGUCCAAGCGUUAAUCGGAAUCACUGGGCUUAAAGGGUCCGCAGGCGGAUCAGCAAGUGUAUUGUGAAAUCCCACGGCUUAACCGUGGAAUUGCUUUGCAAACUGCUGAUCUUGAGCCCGGCAGGGGUCGUCGGAACGAUAGGUGGAGCGGUGAAAUGCGUAGAUAUCUAUCGGAACGCCAAUGGUGAAGACAGACGACUGGGCCGGCGCUGACGCUCAGGGACGAAAGCAUGGGUAGCGAACGGG